This 206-nucleotide long non-coding RNA is filed under the name Linum usitatissimum (flax). Its description in RNAcentral is "long non-coding RNA (LUSI_LNC000223)". The record is from RNAcentral. Lineage: Eukaryota; Viridiplantae; Streptophyta; Magnoliopsida; Malpighiales; Linaceae.
AUAUUGAUUAGUGAUGCCACUCAAGGAGCUAUCGACUUUUGAUCUUGAAGGCAUGCAUCCACCGAUCAGUCUCAAUCUAAACCAGCAACCAAUAUCAUCACUUUCAUCAUCUUUACCACUUCUGCCCACAUCUUUCACCUUCUUCUUCUUCUGAUUAUGCUGCUUCCUUGUCGAUUUCACCUCAAACUGCUGCUGCUUGGGUUUGG